UCAGGAUGAACGCUGGCGGCGUGCUUAACACAUGCAAGUCGAACGGAGUUUUAACGGAAGUUUCGGAUGGAAGUUUAGAAACUUAGUGGCGGACGGGUGAGUAACGCGUGGGUAACCUGCCUCAUACAGGGGGAUAACAGUUAGAAAUGACUGCUAACACCGCAUAAUAUAGCGAAACCGCAUGAUUUUGCUAUCAAAUAUUUAUAGGUAUGAGAUGGGCCCGCGUCUGAUUAGCUAGUUGGUGGGGUAAAGCCUACCAAGGCGACGAUCAGUAGCCGGCUUGAGAGAGUGACCGGCCACAUUGGGACUGAGACACGGCCCAAACUCCUACGGGAGGCAGCAGUGGGGAAUAUUGGACAAUGGGGGAAACCCUGAUCCAGCGAACCGCCGCGUGAGUGAAGAAGUAUUUCGGUAUGUAAAGCUCUAUCAGCAGGGAAGAUAAUGACAGUACCUGACUAAGAAGCCCCGGCUAACUACGUGCCAGCAGCGGC
RNAcentral lists this ribosomal RNA (491 nucleotides) under uncultured bacterium. RNAcentral describes it as "bacterial SSU rRNA". It matches the Rfam family "Bacterial small subunit ribosomal RNA", at positions 24 to 518 of the family's 1533-position model. The record is from RNAcentral.